UACGAGAAUCUUUGAUUCAAGUGGCGGACGGGUGAGUAACACGUAAGAAUUUGCCUUUAGGAGGGGGACAACAACUGGAAACGGUUGCUAAUACCCCAUAUGCUUUUUAGUGAAAUGGUAUUUCCGCCUAAAGAGAAGCUUGCGGCUGAUUAGCUUGUUGGUAGGGUAAUGGCCUACCAAGGCGACGAUCAGUAUCUGGUUUGAGAGGACGAUCAGACACACUGGAACUGAGACACGGUCCAGACUCCUACGGGAGGCAGCAGUAGGGAAUUUUCCGCAAUGGGCGAAAGCCUGACGGAGCAAUACCGCGUGAGGGAUGAAUGCCUAUGGGUUGUAAACCUCUUUUUUCAGGGAGGAAUAAAUGACGUGUACCUGAAGAAUAAGCAUCGGCUAACUCCGUGCCAGCAGCCGCGGUAAGACGGAGGAUGCAAGUGUUAUCCGGAAUCACUGGGCGUAAAGCGUCUGUAGGUGGUUAAAUAAGUCAACUGUUAAAGCUUGGGGCUCAACCUCAAAAUCGCAGUCGAAACUAUUUGACUAGAGUAUAGUAGAGGUAAAGGGAAUUUCCAGUGGAGCGGUGAAAUGCGUAGAGAUUGGAAAGAACACCGAUGGCGAAGGCACUUUACUGGGCUAUUACUGACACUCAGAGACGAAAGCUAGGGUAGCAAAUGGGAUUAGAUACCCCAGUAGUCCUAGCUGUAAACAAUGGAUACUAGGUGUUGAACAUAUCAAUAUGUGCAGUACUAAAGCUAACGCGUUAAGUAUCCCGCCUGGGAAGUAUGCACGCAAGUGUGAAACUCAAAGGAAUUG
This 807-nucleotide ribosomal RNA is filed under the name uncultured cyanobacterium. RNAcentral describes it as "bacterial SSU rRNA". It matches the Rfam family "Bacterial small subunit ribosomal RNA", at positions 65 to 912 of the family's 1533-position model. Lineage: Bacteria; Bacillati; Cyanobacteriota. The record is from RNAcentral.